RNAcentral lists this ribosomal RNA (486 nucleotides) under uncultured bacterium. RNAcentral describes it as "partial 16S ribosomal RNA". It matches the Rfam family "Bacterial small subunit ribosomal RNA", at positions 30 to 507 of the family's 1533-position model. The record is from RNAcentral.
AUUGAACGCUGGCGGCAUGCCUUACACAUGCAAGUCGAACGGCAGCACGGGUGCUUGCACCUGGUGGCGAGUGGCGAGCGGGUGAGUAAUACAUCGGAACAUGUCCUGUAGUGGGGGAUAGCCCGGCGAAAGCCGGAUUAAUACCGCAUACGAUCCACGGAUGAAAGCGGGGGACCUUCGGGCCUCGCGCUAUAGGGUUGGCCGAUGGCUGAUUAGCUAGUUGGUGGGGUAAAGGCCUACCAAGGCGACGAUCAGUAGCUGGUCUGAGAGGACGACCAGCCACACUGGAACUGAGACACGGCCCAGACUCCUACGGGAGGCAGCAGUGGGGAAUUUUGGACAAUGGGCGAAAGCCUGAUCCAGCAAUGCCGCGUGUGUGAAGAAGGCCUUCGGGUUGUAAAGCACUUUUGUCCGGAAAGAAAUCCUUGACUCUAAUACAGUCGGGGGAUGACGGUACCGGAAGAAUAAGCACCGGCUAACUACGUG